Molecule: non-coding RNA, 936 nt
Organism: Globicephala melas (long-finned pilot whale)
Lineage: Eukaryota; Metazoa; Chordata; Mammalia; Artiodactyla; Delphinidae
Source: RefSeq, a predicted model, not a curated record
CUCCAGGCUGAGACAACCCCAAGUGAACCCUAACCCUUGGCCAAGCCCUGUUCCCUGAGCUUGGGGUGGGGGGGGCAGUCAGUCACAGACGGCUCACCACCUGCUGCCCCACAUCCGGCACAGGAUACGCUGUAUGGGUGCUUUCCCCUCAGUGGCACUUUCUGACCCUGCUGCCCAUGGUCCCACCCUGCUUGCACCUCACUGCCUGCGUGCCUGCGUACCCCAGCCGAAGAUCGUGAAGCCCCAGAGGUACUUCUUCUCUGAGAAGAAGGCCAUGAAGAUGAGACUGUGCAGGGACCAUGGACUAGAGGAAGAAGGUCUAGUUUCCAGUGCCAGCCGGACUCCUGAAGAGCUGCCCACCUCACGCAGGAAAGGGACUCAAGGAAGAGACCAGCUUGAGACUGGGGCAGGAGCUGUGAGGUCAGGACUUCUUUGAGCCGCUUCUCACAUUGGGCCUGGGCACGGUGCAGCAAGAAGAUCUGCUCCUCUUUGGUCAUGACGUCAUCUGCAUCCACCUACCAAGCCGAAGCAUGUACACCCUGGGUAUUGGCUGCCACCCACGAGGAUUCACUGGCAUCAUUUUAAGGAAGGGAGCAGGAACGUCACGGAGGUGGGGGUGAGAUGGGACUCACUCUGAGCCUCUGUUUCCCUGACUUAGGGUUGGAAGGAAGUCAGGGGGUAAAGGCAGCAUCCCGCCCUGGGAAAAACUCAGUGUGCCCAAGCCCAGCCACUCCCAUGAGUGGGACCCACAAGAGGUUAAUGCAUCCCCUCAGACCCCACCUUCACCCCCAAGUCAGGGCCAUGUCCCCGCAGACCCCCAGGACAGAGCCUGGUUCCCUUAGACCUCCAACAGGCAGAGCUGCAUCCCCUCAGACAUCCCCUGUCAGGGCCCGGUCCCUUCAGUCUGAGCGGAGCUUUGGAGGGUGGGAGAGCCCA